This 253-nucleotide ribosomal RNA is filed under the name uncultured bacterium. RNAcentral's name for it is "partial 16S ribosomal RNA". It matches the Rfam family "Bacterial small subunit ribosomal RNA", at positions 524 to 776 of the family's 1533-position model. The record is from RNAcentral.
UACGGGGGGAGCAAGCGUUGUUCGGAUUUACUGGGCGUAAAGGGCGCGUAGGCGGUAGCACAAGUCAGUUGUGAAAUCUCCGGGCUUAACUCGGAAAGGUCAACUGAUACUGUGCGACUAGAGUGCAGAAGGGGCAACUGGAAUUCUCGGUGUAGCGGUGAAAUGCGCAGAGAUCGGGAGGAACACCCGUAGCGAAGGCGGCGCUCUGGGCCGGUACUGACGCUGAGGAGCGAAAGCGUGGGGAGCAAACAGG